RNAcentral lists this non-coding RNA (21 nucleotides) under Arabidopsis thaliana (thale cress). Lineage: Eukaryota; Viridiplantae; Streptophyta; Magnoliopsida; Brassicales; Brassicaceae. The record is from RNAcentral.
CAAUUGGUCAUCGCGCUUGGU